Molecule: ribosomal RNA, 1140 nt
Filed under: Ruminococcus sp. A254.MGS-254
Lineage: Bacteria; Bacillati; Bacillota; Clostridia; Eubacteriales; Oscillospiraceae
Description: bacterial LSU rRNA
Rfam family: Bacterial large subunit ribosomal RNA
Source: RNAcentral
UGAUUUCACACUGUCAAGAAAAGCCGCUAGCGAGACCGUAGGUGCCCGUACCGCAAACCGACACAGGUAGAUGAGGAGAGAAUCCUAAGGUGAGCGAGAGAACUAUUGUUAAGGAACUCGGCAAAAUUACCCCGUAACUUCGGGAGAAGGGGUGCCAUCGAAAGAUGGCCGCAGUGAAAAGGCCCAGGCGACUGUUUAGCAAAAACACAGGUCUCUGCUAAAGCGAAAGCUGAAGUAUAGGGGCUGACGCCUGCCCGGUGCUGGAAGGUUAAGGGGACUGCUUAGAGCAAUCGAAGGCAUGAACUUAAGCCCCAGUAAACGGCGGCCGUAACUAUAACGGUCCUAAGGUAGCGAAAUUCCUUGUCAGGUAAGUUCUGACCCGCACGAAAGGCGUAACGAUCUGGGCGCUGUCUCAACAAUAGACUCGGUGAAAUUGUAGUACCGGUAAAGAUGCCGGUUACCCGCAGCAGGACGGAAAGACCCCGUGGAGCUUUACUGCAGCUUGAUAUUGGAUUUCGGCAUUGCAUGUACAGGAUAGGUGGGAGACUGCGAACUCAGUACGCCAGUAUUGAGGGAGUCACCGUUGGGAUACCACCCUUGUAAUGUUGAGGUUCUAACUUUGUACCGUGACCCGGUAUGAGGACAGUGUCUGGCGGGCAGUUUGACUGGGGCGGUCGCCUCCUAAAGAGUAACGGAGGCGCCCAAAGGUUCCCUCAGUGCGGACGGAAAUCGCACGAAGAGUGUAAAGGCAGAAGGGAGCUUGACUGCGAGACAAACAGGUCGAGCAGGGACGAAAGUCGGGCUUAGUGAUCCGGUGGUUCCGAGUGGAAGGGCCAUCGCUCAACGGAUAAAAGCUACCCCGGGGAUAACAGGCUGAUACCCCCCAAGAGUCCACAUCGACGGGGGUGUUUGGCACCUCGAUGUCGGCUCGUCGCAUCCUGGGGCUGAAGUAGGUCCCAAGGGUUGGGCUGUUCGCCCAUUAAAGAGGUACGCGAGCUGGGUUCAGAACGUCGUGAGACAGUUCGGUCCCUAUCCGCUGUGGGCGUUGGAGAUUUGAGAGGAGCUGUUCUUAGUACGAGAGGACCGGGAUGGACAUACCUCUGGUGCACCAGUUGUUCUGCCAAGGGCAUAGCUGGGUAG